CAGUCGCCGCGGUAAUACGAAGGGUGCAAGCGUUAAUCGGAAUUACUGGGCGUAAAGCGUGCGUAGGCGGUGAGUUAAGUCUGCUGUGAAAUCCCCGGGCUCAACCUGGGAAUGGCAGUGGAUACUGGCUCGCUAGAGUGUGUCAGAGGAUGGUGGAAUUCCCGGUGUAGCGGUGAAAUGCGUAGAGAUCGGGAGGAACAUCAGUGGCGAAGGCGGCCAUCUGGGACAACACUGACGCUGAGGCUCGAAAGCGUGGGGAGCAAACAGGAUUAGAUACCCCCGUAGUCCCUGUCUCUUAUAC
Molecule: ribosomal RNA, 301 nt
Filed under: uncultured bacterium
Lineage: Bacteria
Description: partial 16S ribosomal RNA
Rfam family: Bacterial small subunit ribosomal RNA
Source: RNAcentral